UACGAAGGGGGCUAGCGUUGCUCGGAAUCACUGGGCGUAAAGCGCACGUAGGCGGACUCUUAAGUCAGGGGUGAAAUCCUGGAGCUCAACUCCAGAACUGCCUUUGAUACUGGGAGCCUCGAGUUCGGGAGAGGUGAGUGGAACUGCGAGUGUAGAGGUGAAAUUCGUAGAUAUUCGCAAGAACACCAGUGGCGAAGGCGGCUCACUGGCCCGAUACUGACGCUGAGGUGCGAAAGCGUGGGGAGCAAACAGG
Molecule: ribosomal RNA, 253 nt
Filed under: uncultured bacterium
Lineage: Bacteria
Description: partial 16S ribosomal RNA
Rfam family: Bacterial small subunit ribosomal RNA
Source: RNAcentral